CAGCCGCAAACGAUGCGCGUUAGGUGUAUCGACGACCACGAGUCGUCGAGGUGCCGAAGGGAAACCGUGAAACGUGCCGCCUGGGAAGUACGGUCGCAAGGCUGAAACUUAAAGGAAUUGGCGGGGGAGCACCACAACAGGUGGAGCCUGCGGUUUAAUUGGACUCAACGCCGGAAAUCUCACCGGAUAAGACAGCAGAAUGAUUGCCGGGCUGAAGACUCUGCAUGACUAGCUGAGAGGAGGUGCAUGGCGUCAGUGACU
RNAcentral lists this ribosomal RNA (261 nucleotides) under uncultured archaeon. Its description in RNAcentral is "partial 16S ribosomal RNA". It matches the Rfam family "Archaeal small subunit ribosomal RNA", at positions 748 to 1008 of the family's 1478-position model. The record is from RNAcentral.